UUAUGGCACGGGAAUAAAUUCAGCAU
RNAcentral lists this non-coding RNA (26 nucleotides) under Cricetulus griseus (Chinese hamster). The record is from RNAcentral. Lineage: Eukaryota; Metazoa; Chordata; Mammalia; Rodentia; Cricetidae.